RNAcentral lists this ribosomal RNA (253 nucleotides) under uncultured bacterium. RNAcentral's name for it is "partial 16S ribosomal RNA". It matches the Rfam family "Bacterial small subunit ribosomal RNA", at positions 524 to 776 of the family's 1533-position model. The record is from RNAcentral.
UACGGGGGGGGCAAGCGUUGUUCGGAAUUACUGGGCGUAAAGGGCUCGUAGGCGGCCAACUAAGUCAUACGUGAAAUCCCUCGGCUUAACCGGGGAACUGCGUCUGAUACUGGAUGGCUUGAGAUUGGGAGAGGGAUGCGGAAUUCCAGGUGUAGCGGUGAAAUGCGUAGAUAUCUGGAGGAACACCGGUGGCGAAGGCGGCAUCCUGGACCAACAUUGACGCUGAGGAGCGAAAGCCAGGGGAGCAAACGGG